GGCCACUGCUAUGGGGGUCCGACUAAGCCAUGCGAGUUAUGGGGCACCGGCGGACGGCUCAGUAACACGUCGGUAACCUACCCUCGGGAGGGGGAUAACCCCGGGAAAUGGGGCUAAUCCCCCAUAGGUGUGGGGUACUGGAAGGUCCCCACACCGAAAGGGCCGCCCGAGGAUGGGCCGGCGGCCGAUUAGGUAGUUGGUGGGGUAACGGCCCACCAAGCCGAAGAUCGGUACGGGCCAUGAGAGUGGGAGCCCGGAGAUGGACACUGAGACACGGGUCCAGGCCCUACGGGGCGCAGCAGGCGCGAAACCUCCGCAAUGCGGGAAACCGCGACGGGGGGACCCCCAGUGCCGUGCACGGCUUUUCCGGAGUGUAAAAAGCUCCGGGAAUAAGGGCUGGGCAAGGCCGGUGGCAGCCGCCCCGGUAAUACCGGCGGCCCGAGUGGUGGCCGCUAUUAUUGGGCCUAAAGCGUCCGUAGCCGGGCCCGUAAGUCCCUGGCGAAAUCCCACGGCUCAACCGUGGGGCUUGCUGGGGAUACUGCGGGCCUUGGGACCGGGAGAGGCGGGGGGUACCCCUGGGGUAGGGGUGAAAUCCUAUAAUCCCAGGGGGACCGCCAGUGGCGAAGGCGCCCCGCUGGAACGGGUCCGACGGUGAGGGACGAAGGCCAGGGGAGCGAACCGGAUUAGAUACCCGGGUAGUCCUGGCUGUAAAGGAUGCGGGCUAGGUGUCGGGCGAGCUCCGAGCUCGCCCGGUGCCGUAGGGAAGCCGUUAAGCCCGCCGCCUGGGGAGUACGGCCGCAAGGCUGAAACUUAAAGGAAUUGGCGGGGGAGCACUACAAGGGGUGGAGCGUGCGGUUUAAUUGGAUUCAACGCCGGGAACCUCACCGGGGGCGACGGCAGGAUGAAGGCCAGGCUGAAGGUCUUGCCGGACACGCCGAGAGGAGGUGCAUGGCCGCCGUCAGCUCGUACCGUGAGGCGUCCACUUAAGUGUGGUAACGAGCGAGACCCGCGCCCCCAGUUGCCAGUCCCUCCCGAUGGGAGGGAGGCACUCUGGGGGGACCGCCGGCGAUAAGCCGGAGGAAGGAGCGGGCGACGGUAGGUCAGUAUGCCCCGAAACCCCCGGGCUACACGCGCGCUACAAUGGGCGGGACAAUGGGAUCCGACCCCGAAAGGGGAAGGGAAUCCCCUAAACCCGCCCUCAGUUCGGAUCGCGGGCUGCAACUCGCCCGCGUGAAGCUGGAAUCCCUAGUACCCGCGUGUCAUCAUCGCGCGGCGAAUACGUCCCUGCUCCUUGCACACACCGCCCGUCACUCCACCCGAGCGGGGUCCGGAUGAGGCCCCGUCGCCGGCUCUGACCGGAUGGCGGGGUCGAGCCUGGGCUCCGUGAGGGGGGAGG
Molecule: ribosomal RNA, 1396 nt
Filed under: Thermococcus barophilus
Lineage: Archaea; Methanobacteriati; Methanobacteriota; Thermococci; Thermococcales; Thermococcaceae
Description: bacterial SSU rRNA
Rfam family: Archaeal small subunit ribosomal RNA
Source: RNAcentral